RNAcentral lists this ribosomal RNA (207 nucleotides) under uncultured bacterium. RNAcentral's name for it is "partial 16S ribosomal RNA". It matches the Rfam family "Bacterial small subunit ribosomal RNA", at positions 568 to 774 of the family's 1533-position model. The record is from RNAcentral.
CAUGCAGGCGGUUAUACAAGUAGGAUGUGAAAGCCUGGGGCUCAACCUCAGAACUGCAUUCUAAACUGUGUGACUAGAGUAUUGCAGGGGGAGACGGAAUUUCAGGUGUAGCGGUGGAAUGCGUAGAUAUCUGAAAGAACACCAAAGGCGAAGGCAAUCUCCUGGGCAAAUACUGACGCUCAUAUGCGAAAGCGUGGGUAGCAAACA